GUACUGCUGAAGAGUUCCGAACAAACUAGGACGAAACAACUGUCUAGUAC
RNAcentral lists this non-coding RNA (50 nucleotides) under Trichobilharzia regenti. Lineage: Eukaryota; Metazoa; Platyhelminthes; Trematoda; Strigeidida; Schistosomatidae. The record is from RNAcentral.